This 262-nucleotide ribosomal RNA is filed under the name uncultured bacterium. RNAcentral describes it as "partial 16S ribosomal RNA". It matches the Rfam family "Bacterial small subunit ribosomal RNA", at positions 793 to 1055 of the family's 1533-position model. The record is from RNAcentral.
GUCCACGCCCUAAACGAUGGGUACUAGACGUCGGGAAGCUUGUCUUCUUGGUGUCGCAGCUAACGCAAUAAGUACCCCGCCUGGGGAGUACGGUCGCAAGAUUAAAACUCAAAGGAAUUGACGGGGGCCCGCACAAGCGGUGGAGCAUGUGGUUCAAUUCGAUGCAACGCGAAAACCUUACCUGCCCUUGACAUCUGGUGAAUCCUGCAGAGAUGCGGGAGUGCCGCAAGGAACCCCAAGACAGGUGCUGCAUGGCUGUCGU